This 365-nucleotide long non-coding RNA is filed under the name Gallus gallus (chicken). The record is from RNAcentral. Lineage: Eukaryota; Metazoa; Chordata; Aves; Galliformes; Phasianidae.
GUGAGAUCCACCACCCAGCAGUGCCUCCCAGAGGUGAAGGUUUCACAACCCAGCACGCAGGGAUCGGCGUCGAAGCGCUCGGGGCCGUCGGGGGAUUCCUGCAGGCUGUAUUCCCAUCGGACGCUCUUCUGGUCCUCGGAGAGGACGAGGCGAGGGUGGGCCGUCUCCGGGUCCAGAGUCACAUUUACCAACUUUUCUUCGCCUCUCCUGUGUUCCUCAAAACAUCUUCUUGCUUUUGCCUUGUAGUGCUCGAGCUCUGCAGUGAGUUCAUCAAUUCUUCUCUCUCGUUUUUCAACUUCUGUUGAGAGUUCAUCAAUUCUGGCAUCAUGUUCCUCCCUCUCCAGAUCACUCUCCUCAACUUCCCG